RNAcentral lists this ribosomal RNA (282 nucleotides) under uncultured bacterium. Its description in RNAcentral is "partial 16S ribosomal RNA". It matches the Rfam family "Bacterial small subunit ribosomal RNA", at positions 355 to 629 of the family's 1533-position model. The record is from RNAcentral.
UAGGGAAUCUUCGGCAAUGGACGAAAGUCUGACCGAGCAACGCCGCGUGAGUGAAGAAGGUUUUCGGAUCGUAAAACUCUGUUGGUAGAGAAGAACGUUGGUGAGAGUGGAAAGCUCAUCAAGUGACGGUAACUACCCAGAAAGGGACGGCUAACUACGUGCCAGCAGCCGCGGUAAUACGUAGGUCCCGAGCGUUGUCCGGAUUUAUUGGGCGUAAAGCGAGCGCAGGUGGUUUAUUAAGUCUGGUGUAAAAGGCAGUGGCUCAACCAUUGUAUGCAUUGG